Molecule: unclassified non-coding RNA, 209 nt
Filed under: fungal sp.
Lineage: Eukaryota; Fungi
Description: partial internal transcribed spacer region
Rfam family: Eukaryotic small subunit ribosomal RNA (bases 1-46)
Source: RNAcentral
AAGUCGUAACAAGGUCUCCGUAGGUGAACCUGCGGAGGGAUCAUUACCGAGUUAUCACUCAAAACCCUGUUUACCAUCUGUUGCUUCGGGGGCGCCCCUCGGGAGGGGAUAUGCUUCGGCCGCCCCCGAAAGCCAGAAACUAUUUAAUUGUCUGUCAUUAUAAAACUACAAAAAAAAUUAAAACCUCAACAACGGAUCUCUUGGUUACU